AGCGUACACGGUGGAUGCCCUGGCAGUCAGAGGCGAUGAAGGACGUGCUAAUCUGCGAUAAGCGUCGGUAAGGUGAUAUGAACCGUUAUAACCGGCGAUUUCCGAAUGGGGAAACCCAGUGUGUUUCGACACACUAUCAUUAACUGAAUCCAUAGGUUAAUGAGGCGAACCGGGGGAACUGAAACAUCUAAGUACCCCGAGGAAAAGAAAUCAACCGAGAUUCCCCCAGUAGCGGCGAGCGAACGGGGAGGAGCCCAGAGCCUGAAUCAGUGUGUGUGUUAGUGGAAGCGUCUGGAAAGGCGCGCGAUACAGGGUGACAGCCCCGUACACAAAAAUGCACAUGCUGUGAGCUCGAUGAGUAGGGCGGGACACGUGGUAUCCUGUCUGAAUAUGGGGGGACCAUCCUCCAAGGCUAAAUACUCCUGACUGACCGAUAGUGAACCAGUACCGUGAGGGAAAGGCGAAAAGAACCCCGGCGAGGGGAGUGAAAAAGAACCUGAAACCGUGUACGUACAAGCAGUGGGAGCACGCUUAGGCGUGUGACUGCGUACCUUUUGUAUAAUGGGUCAGCGACUUAUAUUCUGUAGCAAGGUUAACCGAAUAGGGGAGCCGAAGGGAAACCGAGUCUUAACUGGGCGUUAAGUUGCAGGGUAUAGACCCGAAACCCGGUGAUCUAGCCAUGGGCAGGUUGAAGGUUGGGUAACACUAACUGGAGGACCGAACCGACUAAUGUUGAAAAAUUAGCGGAUGACUUGUGGCUGGGGGUGAAAGGCCAAUCAAACCGGGAGAUAGCUGGUUCUCCCCGAAAGCUAUUUAGGUAGCGCCUCGUGAAUUCAUCUCCGGGGGUAGAGCACUGUUUCGGCAAGGGGGUCAUCCCGACUUACCAACCCGAUGCAAACUGCGAAUACCGGAGAAUGUUAUCACGGGAGACACACGGCGGGUGCUAACGUCCGUCGUGAAGAGGGAAACAACCCAGACCGCCAGCUAAGGUCCCAAAGUCAUGGUUAAGUGGGAAACGAUGUGGGAAGGCCCAGACAGCCAGGAUGUUGGCUUAGAAGCAGCCAUCAUUUAAAGAAAGCGUAAUAGCUCACUGGUCGAGUCGGCCUGCGCGGAAGAUGUAACGGGGCUAAACCAUGCACCGAAGCUGCGGCAGCGACACUAUGUGUUGUUGGGUAGGGGAGCGUUCUGUAAGCCUGUGAAGGUGUGCUGUGAGGCAUGCUGGAGGUAUCAGAAGUGCGAAUGCUGACAUAAGUAACGAUAAAGCGGGUGAAAAGCCCGCUCGCCGGAAGACCAAGGGUUCCUGUCCAACGUUAAUCGGGGCAGGGUGAGUCGACCCCUAAGGCGAGGCCGAAAGGCGUAGUCGAUGGGAAACAGGUUAAUAUUCCUGUACUUGGUGUUACUGCGAAGGGGGGACGGAGAAGGCUAUGUUGGCCGGGCGACGGUUGUCCCGGUUUAAGCGUGUAGGCUGGUUUUCCAGGCAAAUCCGGAAAAUCAAGGCUGAGGCGUGAUGACGAGGCACUACGGUGCUGAAGCAACAAAUGCCCUGCUUCCAGGAAAAGCCUCUAAGCAUCAGGUAACAUCAAAUCGUACCCCAAACCGACACAGGUGGUCAGGUAGAGAAUACCAAGGCGCUUGAGAGAACUCGGGUGAAGGAACUAGGCAAAAUGGUGCCGUAACUUCGGGAGAAGGCACGCUGAUAUGUAGGUGAAGUCCCUCGCGGAUGGAGCUGAAAUCAGUCGAAGAUACCAGCUGGCUGCAACUGUUUAUUAAAAACACAGCACUGUGCAAACACGAAAGUGGACGUAUACGGUGUGACGCCUGCCCGGUGCCGGAAGGUUAAUUGAUGGGGUCAGCGCAAGCGAAGCUCUUGAUCGAAGCCCCGGUAAACGGCGGCCGUAACUAUAACGGUCCUAAGGUAGCGAAAUUCCUUGUCGGGUAAGUUCCGACCUGCACGAAUGGCGUAAUGAUGGCCAGGCUGUCUCCACCCGAGACUCAGUGAAAUUGAACUCGCUGUGAAGAUGCAGUGUACCCGCGGCAAGACGGAAAGACCCCGUGAACCUUUACUAUAGCUUGACACUGAACAUUGAGCCUUGAUGUGUAGGAUAGGUGGGAGGCUUGGAAGUGUGGACGCCAGUCUGCAUGGAGCCGACCUUGAAAUACCACCCUUUAAUGUUUGAUGUUCUAACGUUGACCCGUAAUCCGGGUUGCGGACAGUGUCUGGUGGGUAGUUUGACUGGGGCGGUCUCCUCCUAAAGAGUAACGGAGGAGCACGAAGGUUGGCUAAUCCUGGUCGGACAUCAGGAGGUUAGUGCAAUGGCAUAAGCCAGCUUGACUGCGAGCGUGACGGCGCGAGCAGGUGCGAAAGCAGGUCAUAGUGAUCCGGUGGUUCUGAAUGGAAGGGCCAUCGCUCAACGGAUAAAAGGUACUCCGGGGAUAACAGGCUGAUACCGCCCAAGAGUUCAUAUCGACGGCGGUGUUUGGCACCUCGAUGUCGGCUCAUCACAUCCUGGGGCUGAAGUAGGUCCCAAGGGUAUGGCUGUUCGCCAUUUAAAGUGGUACGCGAGCUGGGUUUAGAACGUCGUGAGACAGUUCGGUCCCUAUCUGCCGUGGGCGCUGGAGAACUGAGGGGGGCUGCUCCUAGUACGAGAGGACCGGAGUGGACGCAUCACUGGUGUUCGGGUUGUCAUGCCAAUGGCACUGCCCGGUAGCUAAAUGCGGAAGAGAUAAGUGCUGAAAGCAUCUAAGCACGAAACUUGCCCCGAGAUGAGUUCUCCCUGACUCCUUGA
Molecule: ribosomal RNA, 2786 nt
Filed under: metagenome
Description: bacterial LSU rRNA
Rfam family: Bacterial large subunit ribosomal RNA
Source: RNAcentral